RNAcentral lists this unclassified non-coding RNA (434 nucleotides) under soil metagenome. RNAcentral's name for it is "partial contains 5.8S ribosomal RNA, internal transcribed spacer 2, and large subunit ribosomal RNA". The stretch from base 1 to 120 matches the Rfam family "5.8S ribosomal RNA", at positions 35 to 154 of the family's 154-position model. The record is from RNAcentral.
GAUGAAGAACGCAGCGAAAUGCGAUACGUAAUGUGAAUUGCAGAAUUCAGUGAAUCAUCGAAUCUUUGAACGCAUAUUGCGCUCUCUGGUAUUCCGGAGAGCAUGCUUGUUUGAGUAUCAGUAAACACCUCAACUCCCUUUUCUUUUUUGAAAUGGGAGCUGGACUUGAGUGAUCCCAACACUUUUCUCACUGGAAAGUGGCGGGUCACUUGAAAUGCAGGUGCAGCUGGACUUUUCUCUGAGCUAUAAGCAUAUCUAUUUAGUCUGCCUAAAAAACAGAUUAUUACCUUUGCUGCAGCUAACAUAAAGGAGAUGAGUUCUUGUGCUGACUGAUGCAGGAUUCACAGAGACAGCUUUGCGGCUGACUUUGUAAACUCGAUCUCAAAUCAAGUAAGACUACCCGCUGAACUUAAGCAUAUCAAUAAGCCGGAGGA